GUUUAUUCAAACCCAAACAAAUCCCACAUUUCUGUUUCUCAGCCGCCGAGCAACCAAAACGCCAAAAUGUCAGUCGAUUCAGCGCCGCCGGUGGAAAAACUCACCCUAACCGACGUCGUAGAGGAGGCGAGAUUCUCUCAACGCGUCCCGAUCUGUUCAAUCGUCGGCCGUACCGACGGAGGAGCUGGACUCGCCGGAAAUGUUGUCAAAAUCGGUGGUUGGGUCAAAACAGGAAGAGAACAGGGCAAGGGUUCAUUCGCUUUCCUCGAAGUGAAUGACGGUUCAUGCCCAGGGAAUCUUCAAGUGAUCGUUGAUGCUUCAGUUCAUAAGCUUGGUGAUUUGGUACUUACUGGUACUUGUGUACAUGUGGAAGGUGAAUUGAAGGUUCCUCCUGAAGGUGCGAAGCAGAAAGUUGAGCUUCGUGUUCAGAAGGUUAUAUCUGUGGGUACUGUUGAUGCUGCUAAGUAUCCAUUGCCGAAGACUAAGUUGACGCUUGAGUUUUUAAGGGAUGUUGUUCAUCUUCGAUCCCGAACGAACACUAUUUCUGCUGUUGCUAGAAUCCGUAAUGCCUUAGCUUAUGCCACCCAUACAUUCUUCCAAAACAAUGGGUUUCUUUAUAUCCACACCCCAAUAAUCACAACAAGUGAUUGUGAGGGUGCUGGUGAGAUGUUCCAAGUUACUAGUUUGAUUAGUGAAGCUGAAAAGUUGGAGAAGGAGCUGAAAGAGAAUCCUGCUCCUUCAGAAUCUGACACUCAAGCUGCUGAGAAACUCGCCAAAGAGAAAGGUGAGGUAGUUGCUCAGCUAAAAGCUAGUAAGGCGAGCAUGGACAAAACUGAUCCCAAUAUUGCGGACAUCAACAAGAAAAUCAGUGCUGCAGUUGCCGAGCUACAACGAGCUAAAGAGAAUCUCCUGAAGUUGCAAGAGAGAUCUAAAUUGGGAGAAAGAUACAGACUCUCUGCUGGUAUUCCUAAAAAGGAUGGAAAGAUUGAUUACUCUGAGGAUUUUUUUGGACGACAAGCUUUCUUGACAGUGUCUGGCCAACUCCAAGUUGAAACCUAUGCAUGUGCACUUUCUAGUGUGUAUACUUUUGGACCAACUUUUCGAGCUGAACAGUCCCACACUACUCGGCAUCUUGCAGAGUUCUGGAUGGUGGAGCCUGAAAUUGCUUUUGCUGAUAUCCAGGAUGAUAUGAAUUGUGCUGAGGCGUAUGUGAAGUUUCUGUGUCAGUGGUUACUUGACCAUUGCCUUGAUGACAUGGAAUUUAUGACUAAAUUUGUAGAUAAAGAUGCUCUGAGUAGACUUAGAAUGGUUGCCUCAUCGAACUGCCAUCGGAUAACUUAUACAGAAGCCAUAGAUAUUCUUGAGGUAGCAGCCAAAGUGAAGAAAUUUGAAAAUAAAGUAGAGUGGGGGAUUGACUUAGCAUCUGAACAUGAAAGAUAUUUGACCGAAGAGCAUUUUAAGGCACCUGUUAUUGUGUUCAACUAUCCAAAAGGGAUAAAAGCAUUUUACAUGAAGGUGAAUGAAGACAACAAGACAGUUGCUGCCAUGGAUCUGCUAGUACCAAAGGUGGGAGAACUAAUUGGAGGAAGCCAAAGAGAAGAGAAUUAUGAAGUCCUCAGAUCAAGGAUACUGGAUCUGGGUCUACCACUAGAGCCAUAUGAGUGGUAUCUGGACCUGAGGCGCUAUGGUACUGUAAAGCACAGUGGUUUCGGUUUAGGCUUUGAACGAAUGAUUCUGUUUGCCACUGGGAUAGAAAACAUUCGGGAUGUCAUUCCCUUCCCUAGAUAUCCAGGGAGAGCCGAUCUUUAAUCCAUACCGAUAGACAUGGAUACCUAUUUAUUUAGUUUUGAAAUUAUGACACCAUUUUCUAAAUUGUAAUUGCUAUUUAAAAGUUCCAAACAAAUUCAGAUACAGGAAACCUGUAUCAUAUUGUAAUCUCUCAGGAGGGUUUGGGGUGAGUGGCUGAGCGCGUUUGCAGUGUAUUUCAUCUAACACUUGCUGCUGGGUUUACAAAAUAUGCAUUCUGGUUUUUAGUAAAACUGAUUUUGUAGAUGGCUUUGUUGGACAUAUCAUAUUUCUUUGUUAUUGGAAAUGCUGUCACUUUGUUUAUGUGAUUUUUUGGUUUGAU
RNAcentral lists this unclassified non-coding RNA (2128 nucleotides) under Hevea brasiliensis (rubber tree). Lineage: Eukaryota; Viridiplantae; Streptophyta; Magnoliopsida; Malpighiales; Euphorbiaceae. The record is from RNAcentral.